Molecule: ribosomal RNA, 657 nt
Filed under: uncultured bacterium
Lineage: Bacteria
Description: bacterial SSU rRNA
Rfam family: Bacterial small subunit ribosomal RNA
Source: RNAcentral
GUCGAGCGACCCUUCGGGGUGAGCGGCGGACGGGUGAGUAACGCGUGGGUAACCUGCCCUGUACACACGGAUAACAUACCGAAAGGUAUGCUAAUACGGGAUAAAGUAAGAGAGUCGCAUGGCUUUUUUAUCAAAGCUCCGGCGGUACAGGAUGGACCCGCGUCUGAUUAGCUAGUUGGUAAGGUAAUGGCUUACCAAGGCGACGAUCAGUAGCCGACCUGAGAGGGUGAUCGGCCACAUUGGAACUGAGACACGGUCCAAACUCCUACGGGAGGCAGCAGUGGGGAAUAUUGCACAAUGGGCGAAAGCCUGAUGCAGCAACGCCGCGUGAGCGAUGAAGGCCUUCGGGUCGUAAAGCUCUGUCCUCAAGGAAGAUAAUGACGGUACUUGAGGAGGAAGCCCCGGCUAACUACGUGCCAGCAGCCGCGGUAAUACGUAGGGGGCUAGCGUUAUCCGGAAUUACUGGGCGUAAAGGGUGCGUAGGUGGUUUUUUAAGUCAGAAGUGAAAGGCUACGGCUCAACCGUAGUAAGCUUUUGAAACUGGAGAACUUGAGUGCAGGAGAGGAAAGUGGAAUUCCUAGUGUAGCGGUGAAAUGCGUAGAUAUUAGGAGGAACACCAGUUGCGAAAGCGGCUUUCUGGACUGUAACUGACACUGA